Molecule: non-coding RNA, 381 nt
Organism: Meleagris gallopavo (turkey)
Lineage: Eukaryota; Metazoa; Chordata; Aves; Galliformes; Phasianidae
Source: RefSeq, a predicted model, not a curated record
UGACAGUAUUGAACAGUGCAUUUCCGUUUUGCAGGGUACUCUGUUGGAGCUGGACAUUUUCUGGCAUCAUCUAGCACAGAAGUAAUUGGAGGGGCUCCCCAACAGGAGCAGACUGGUAAAGCGUACAUUUUUAGCAUUGACAAGCAACUGAAUAUUCUGUUUGAACUAAGAGGUAAAAAGCUUGGUUCUUACUUUGGGGCUGCGGUUUGCGCUGUGGACCUGAAUUCAGAUGGCCUCUCAGACUUGCUAGUUGGUGCUCCCAUGGAAAGUACCAUCAGAGAAGAAGGAAGAGUUUAUGUCUACAUCAAUUCAGGUUCUGUAAGUAUUUUCUCUCAAAAUACGUUGUACCACAGUUGUUCUUGUAUAACAAGCUAAAAGAUU